GACGAACGCUGGCGGCAUGCCUAAUACAUGCAAGUCGAGCGAACAGAUGAAGUGCUUGCACUUCUGACGUUAGCGGCGAACGGGUGAGUAACACGUAAGGAAUCUACCUAUAAGCGGGGGAUAACAUUCGGAAACGGGUGCUAAUACCGCAUAAUAUCUUCUUCCGCAUGGAAGAAGAUUGAAAGACGGCUCUGCUGUCACUUAUAGAUGACCUUGCGGUGCAUUAGUUAGUUGGUGGGGUAACGGCCUACCAAGACGAUGAUGCAUAGCCGACCUGAGAGGGUGAUCGGCCACAUUGGGACUGAGACACGGCCCAAACUCCUACGGGAGGCAGCAGUAGGGAAUCUUCCGCAAUGGGCGAAAGCCUGACGGAGCAAUGCCGCGUGAGUGAAGAAGGCCUUCGGGUCGUAAAACUCUGUUAUAAGAGAAGAACAAAUUGUAGAGUAACUGCUACAGUCUUGACGGUAUCUUAUCAGAAAGCCCCGGCUAACUUCGUGCCAGCAGCCGCGGUAA
This 513-nucleotide ribosomal RNA is filed under the name uncultured bacterium. Its description in RNAcentral is "partial 16S ribosomal RNA". It matches the Rfam family "Bacterial small subunit ribosomal RNA", at positions 28 to 523 of the family's 1533-position model. The record is from RNAcentral.